This 863-nucleotide long non-coding RNA is filed under the name Ananas comosus (pineapple). RNAcentral's name for it is "long non-coding RNA (ACOM_LNC037854)". The record is from RNAcentral. Lineage: Eukaryota; Viridiplantae; Streptophyta; Magnoliopsida; Poales; Bromeliaceae.
GUUUUUGUUGCUUUCGUUGGUUCAAAUGGAACCUAAUGAGCUUAGAGAUGACGGAUCUAGCUCACAUUGAGGCUAGCACCCAUGGUUUUCCUCAUUAUUGCUAAACCUAGGUUUUAAAAAGGGUUUUGUUGCUUAAGAAUGGUUCAAAUGGAAACCAUUGAAGCUUAAGAGAAGGUUCAAUCCCAAAUUUGGAGUUUGAAACCAUGAUUUCUCUAUUGUUGCUCAACCUAGGGCUUGAUUUGGGGAUUUUGCAAAUAUUAGGGUUUGAUCUCCUUUGAGGGGUUAGAAACCUAAUUUCCAUGUUUAUAAACGCGUAGGCGAAGACGGUUCGUCGAUCCGACGAGUGGGCACGAAGAUAUCGCCAUUUGAUGCGCUAAAGGGUUAAAGCUAACCCAAUAAAAAUUAAGCGGUGACAAGACUAGCACGAGAGCGCGUCCCGGAGUGUUUUUGGCAUCACCUAAGGUGGGGGAGUGCCAUACCGAAGUCAUCGGGCCACCUUCUAUGUCUAAGUUUAAAUUGAUCUAUUUGCAUAUUGUGCAUAGUACAUAUAGGGUUAAGAAAAUGAUUAUUGUUGCUUAUACUUGCAUGCUAGUAGUUCGAUAAAUACAUUUUGCUUGGUUGGUUUAUGAUCUAGUAUGCAUGAUGAUUGCUUGAUGAAAACCUAGACCCUAUAUGAGAUGACAAAUAUUUAUGUUGCUAAAGGACUAGUAUGGUGUAACUAGUGUUGGAAAAAUGAGUCUAAAUGACGAGUGGCAUCUAGCUAGAAAACUAUGACGAGUGACAUAUGAUUGUUGAUGAUUUUGAUAUUAGAACAUUAGUGUAGUUGAGACACUAUGAGAUUGGGUACAUGUAUACCUUGCUUU